AUUUGAUGAUGUGGACAUUGUAUUUGUAACUCUCCAAACCUUUCCCAAGCUUCAUAAAAUUCUUCAUUAUGUUUUUGUCGAAAAGUUUGAAUUUUAUUUUUUAACUC
RNAcentral lists this small nucleolar RNA (107 nucleotides) under Thalictrum thalictroides. RNAcentral describes it as "Plant small nucleolar RNA R71". It matches the Rfam family "Plant small nucleolar RNA R71". From Rfam's summary of the family: R71 is a member of the C/D box family of snoRNAs containing the C (UGAUGA) and D (CUGA) box motifs. Multiple nearly identical copies of this snoRNA have been identified in Arabidopsis, and it is thought to function as a 2'-O-ribose methylation guide for 18S ribosomal RNA. Lineage: Eukaryota; Viridiplantae; Streptophyta; Magnoliopsida; Ranunculales; Ranunculaceae. The record is from Rfam by way of RNAcentral.